GUGCCAGCUGCCGCGGUAAUACCGGCAGCCCGAGUGAUGGCCGAUCUUAUUGAGCCUAAAGCGUCCGUAGCUGGCUGCGCAAGUCCGUCGGGAAAUCCACUCGCCCAACGAGUGGGAGUCCGGCGGAAACUGUGCGGCUUGGGACCGGAAGAUCCGAGGGGUACGUCCGGGGUAGGAGUGAAAUCCCGUAAUCCUUGACGGACCACCGAUGGCGAAGGCACCUCGGAAGGACGGAUCCGACAGUGAGGGACGAAAGCUAGGGUCUCGAACCGGAUUAGAUACCCUGGUAGUCC
RNAcentral lists this ribosomal RNA (293 nucleotides) under uncultured bacterium. Its description in RNAcentral is "partial 16S ribosomal RNA". It matches the Rfam family "Archaeal small subunit ribosomal RNA", at positions 455 to 747 of the family's 1478-position model. The record is from RNAcentral.